CGCUCUUGUCUUAAUGGUCUGGAAACUGGGCUUGGAACUCAGAGGUUGCUGGUUCGAUUCCCAGGUGA
Molecule: transfer RNA, 68 nt
Filed under: Anguilla anguilla (European eel)
Lineage: Eukaryota; Metazoa; Chordata; Actinopteri; Anguilliformes; Anguillidae
Description: tRNA-Pro
Source: RNAcentral